AGGGGGCCAUCCCGGCUUACCAACCCGAUGCAAACUGCGAAUACCGGAGAAUGUUAUCACGGGAGACACACGGCGGGUGCUAACGUCCGUCGUGAAGAGGGAAACAACCCAGACCGCCAGCUAAGGUCCCAAAGUCAUGGUUAAGUGGGAAACGAUGUGGGAAGGCCCAGACAGCCAGGAUGUUGGCUUAGAAGCAGCCAUCAUUUAAAGAAAGCGUAAUAGCUCACUGGUCGAGUCGGCCUGCGCGGAAGAUGUAACGGGGCUAAACCAUGCACCGAAGCUGCGGCAGCGACACUGUGUGUUGUUGGGUAGGGGAGCGUUCUGUAAGCCUGUGAAGGUGUGUCGUGAGGCAUGCUGGAGGUAUCAGAAGUGCGAAUGCUGACAUAAGUAACGAUAAAGCGGGUGAAAAGCCCGCUCGCCGGAAGACCAAGGGUUCCUGUCCAACGUUAAUCGGGGCAGGGUGAGUCGACCCCUAAGGCGAGGCCGAAAGGCGUAGUCGAUGGGAAACGGGUUAAUAUUCCCGUACUUGGUGUUACUGCGAAGGGGGGACGGAGAAGGCUAUGUUGGCCGGGCGACGGUUGUCCCGGUUUAAGCGUGUAGGUGUGUGUUCCAGGUAAAUCCGGUUCACUUUAACACUGAGGCGUGACGACGAGGCACUACGGUGCUGAAGCAACAAAUGCCCUGCUUCCAGGAAAAGCCUCUAAGCAUCAGGUAACAUCAAAUCGUACCCCAAACCGACACAGGUGGUCAGGUAGAGAAUACCAAGGCGCUUGAGAGAACUCGGGUGAAGGAACUAGGCAAAAUGGUGCCGUAACUUCGGGAGAAGGCACGCUGACACGUAGGUGAAGUGAUUUACUCAUGGAGCUGAAGUCAGUCGAAGAUACCAGCUGGCUGCAACUGUUUAUUAAAAACACAGCACUGUGCAAACACGAAAGUGGACGUAUACGGUGUGACGCCUGCCCGGUGCCGGAAGGUUAAUUGAUGGGGUCAGCGCAAGCGAAGCUCCUGAUCGAAGCCCCGGUAAACGGCGGCCGUAACUAUAACGGUCCUAAGGUAGCGAAAUUCCUUGUCGGGUAAGUUCCGACCUGCACGAAUGGCGUAAUGAUGGCCAGGCUGUCUCCACCCG
RNAcentral lists this ribosomal RNA (1126 nucleotides) under Salmonella enterica subsp. enterica serovar Enteritidis. Its description in RNAcentral is "partial 23S ribosomal RNA". It matches the Rfam family "Bacterial large subunit ribosomal RNA", at positions 921 to 2028 of the family's 2925-position model. Lineage: Bacteria; Pseudomonadati; Pseudomonadota; Gammaproteobacteria; Enterobacterales; Enterobacteriaceae. The record is from RNAcentral.